GGGGGCGUUUUUUGGAUUCGACGGAGAUAGUUCGAGCGUUAGUAGCGAGCCGAGGGGCUGCGUCCUUCGUAAAAACGCGGAACGCCAAAUGUAACUGGCAAACAAGAAAACUUUGCUCUGGCUGCUUAAUUAAGCUAGUCAGGAUCCGCUACUCUAUCGCCCAUGUAGAGUAAUCGGGUCUCAUUAACAGUGGGAUAGCCAACCGGAGUCGUUGCCGGCCGGGCGGUGAAACAAAGGUAACUAGCCGUAAGAAUCGCCUGUCACUGGGCAGUUCAUACGUGUGAAAUUUGAAUACAGUGACUGCGCUCGGAGAAUCUGGCGUGGCGAUAUCUUCGGACAGCGGUUCGACUCCGCUCGCCUCCACCA
Molecule: transfer-messenger RNA, 366 nt
Filed under: Numidum massiliense
Lineage: Bacteria; Bacillati; Bacillota; Bacilli; Caryophanales; Bacillaceae
Description: Standard tmRNA
Rfam family: transfer-messenger RNA
About the family: Bacterial tmRNA, also known as 10Sa RNA or SsrA, is named for its dual tRNA and mRNA-like properties. Its role is to liberate the mRNA from a stalled ribosome.
Source: RNAcentral